GGACUGUGCCUUAAUUUCCCUUUUAUCUUCUCUCUUGAAGAAAAACUUGAAGGCACACCAGCAUCAAAGAAAGCGCCUGAAGAAACUGAAGAUACAUCCUCCACAAAGAAGCAAAAAAGUCCCAUCAGUUUCUUCCAAUGCGUCUACUUGGAUGGGUACAACGGCUACGGAUUUCAGUUUCCUGUCACUCCUGCACACCGCCCUGGAGAAAACUCUGGCAACCCAAGUUCUCCCAGGCAGAAGCAUCAAGGACAAUAAACACAUAAGCCCAGCCCUUCCACAUAAUUACGAUUUUGAAAACGCGGUCUUAUGCCUAUUGCAGCAAAGGCGAUUGAAAUUAUGUGUGAAUUCACGAUCCAGGGAAUUUCUUUGAGAGUUUUCUGCACUUCUCCUGUGUGGAGAGAGAGGGGUUGGAAUUAGUGAUACUGAAAUAAUUCUUUCCGGUCCGGUCCUCAAAAAUCUUUGUGUGGGUGUGUUUAUUGCUGGUCAGUGGUGCUGAUAUUUUUCUAUUGCCAUUCACCAUAGGGUUGUAUACAAUUUAAUGUUUACUUAAUAAGGUCCUUUUCCAGGUAAUUGGUACAAUUACAAAAUGAAACUCUGGCCUCCGUUAGAUGUUAAUUUUUAACUGAUAACCUAGACUGUGGUCUAAAUGUAAAAGCACAAGAAAACCAAAAGAAAAUCAUAAACACAAUUGCUCAGAUGGGAAUUAGAGAGGUUUUACUAGAAAAUUGAAUCUAAUGUCUUAGUUUUAUUGAUGCCUGUUUCUAGCUUAAUUGUGGAUGUAUUCUAAGAAUGUGCAACAGUUGUACCAAAGCCUGUUAUAACUUCUUUAUGAUGCUCUCUUAGAGCUCAAAAUAUCACUCAAAAUUAGAUGUGAUGAGACGGAGAAGAAUGUUUGAUGGAUUUUUCUCUAAGAUCUGUCAAAUGGCAAUCAGGCCAUUCACGCCAGUGUAAACACACUAUCCCAAUAGGCAGGAACAUUAAUCAUUUAUUUAAAAUACAAUCAAGUGAAAUGGGGAAUUGUAGAUUUUUCCAACCUGUGCCCUGACAUAACCUGGGUGAGAUUUUAUAUUACUCACUAAAUUUGAGUGAUAGAUGCAGACAUAUUUCAUUAACUUCAAUAUAUUUUCAAAGGAGCUAGUGAAGAUUUAUUUCUCCACAUAGGAAAACUGUGAAUGCCAUCAAUGUUUGAAAAACUGUUAUCCAUGAAUGACUUCAUGAGAAGUCUUGCCUUUGUUU
Echinops telfairi (small Madagascar hedgehog) is the source of this 1239-nucleotide long non-coding RNA. RefSeq lists it as uncharacterized. The transcript is spliced from 3 exons. The record is from RefSeq and is a predicted model, not a curated record. Lineage: Eukaryota; Metazoa; Chordata; Mammalia; Afrosoricida; Tenrecidae.